RNAcentral lists this ribosomal RNA (484 nucleotides) under uncultured bacterium. RNAcentral's name for it is "partial 16S ribosomal RNA". It matches the Rfam family "Bacterial small subunit ribosomal RNA", at positions 30 to 507 of the family's 1533-position model. The record is from RNAcentral.
AUUGAACGCUGGCGGCAGGCCUAACACAUGCAAGUCGAGCGGAUGAAGGGAGCUUGCUCCUGGAUUCAGCGGCGGACGGGUGAGUAAUGCCUAGGAAUCUGCCGGGUAGUGGGGGAUAACGUCCGGAAACGGGCGCUAAUACCGCAUACGUCCUGAGGGAGAAAGUGGGGGAUCUUCGGACUUCACGCUAUCAGAUGAGCCUAGGUAGGAUUAGCUAGUUGGUGGGGUAAAGGCCUACCAAGGCGACGAUCCGUAACUGGUCGGAGAGGAUGAUCAGUCACACUGGAACUGAGACACGGUCCAGACUCCUACGGGAGGCAGCAGUGGGGAAUAUUGGACAAUGGGCGAAAGCCUGAUCCAGCCAUGCCGCGUGUGUGAAGAAGGUCUUCGGAUUGUAAAGCACUUUAAGUUGGGAGGAAGGGCAGUAAGUUAAUACCUUGCUGUUUUGACGUUACCAACAGAAUAAGCACCGGCUAACUUCGUG